GGAGGACAUACUGAAGACAGCAGCACUUAAAGUGAAGUGGUUUUAGAAGUCUUGGUAAACACACGGGGGAGCACCACCAGCAAUCACUCAUCCAGAAAGAUCACAGAAUUUUACAUUUUUUUGACUAGAAUUUCGCCAUCCCUUUCCGCCGACCGACCCAGGAACUAGAGCCCUCAUCCAGUGGCUGAUGGAAGCAGAGACAGACAUCCACAGAUAUACACUGAGCUGAAAUCGGAAAUUUAGUUGAAGAGAUUUAGGAAUGAAGAGCGAAGGGGUCUGUACCAGAUUGGAGAAACCCACAGCAACAAUUGGCCUGAACAUGGGAGAGCACAUCGACCCCAGAUGCUGUAGGGGAGGCCAGUACAAGACUGAUCCAGACCCAUGAACAUGGAUGCCAAUAAGGAGGCCUCUGCACUCCAGGGAGCCUCUGCUGGUGGAUUAGUUUUUUUCCCUGGUGCAAGAAGGGACUUUGAGAGCCCAUCCCAAGUGAAGGGUUACACUCUGGCCCUGGACACAUGGGGAAGGGCCCAGGACCAACACAGGAAGAUUUGGUGGACUUUGCAGAGCCCCCGUUGAGGACCCUACCCUGCCU
Molecule: long non-coding RNA, 592 nt
Filed under: Cricetulus griseus (Chinese hamster)
Lineage: Eukaryota; Metazoa; Chordata; Mammalia; Rodentia; Cricetidae
Description: lncRNA (ENSCGRG00015037123.1)
Source: RNAcentral